RNAcentral lists this ribosomal RNA (433 nucleotides) under uncultured bacterium. Its description in RNAcentral is "partial 16S ribosomal RNA". It matches the Rfam family "Bacterial small subunit ribosomal RNA", at positions 29 to 507 of the family's 1533-position model. The record is from RNAcentral.
AACGAACGCUGGCGGCAUGCCUAACACAUGCAAGUCGAACGAGACCUUCGGGUCUAGUUGCGCACGGGUGCGUAACGCGUGGGAAUCUGCCCUUCGGUUUGGAAUAACUGAGAGAAAUUUCAGCUAAUACCUUAUAAUGUCUUCGGACCAAAGAUUUAUCGCCGAGGGAUGAGCCCGCGUAGGAUUAGGUAGUUGGUGGGGUAAUGGCCUACCAAGCCGACGAUCCUUAGCUGGUCUGAGAGGAUGAUCAGCCACACUGGGACUGAGACACGGCCCAGAAUCCUACGGGAAGCAGCAGUGGGGAAUAUUGGAAAAUGGGCGAAAGCCUGAUCCAGCAAUGCCGCGUGAGUGAUGAAGGCCUUAGGGUUGUAAAGCUCUUUUACCCGGGAUGAUAAUGACAGUACCGGGAGAAUAAGCACCGGCUAACUCCGUG